AUACGGAAGGUCCGGGCGUUAUCCGGAUUUAUUGGGCUUAAAGGGAGCGCAGGCGGAGAUGCAAGCGUGACGUCAAAUUUCGGGGCUCAACCCCGUCUCGCGUCGCAAAAUGCGUCCCUUGGUUGCGGGAAGGGGCGGCGGGACUCCUGGUGGUGGGGGGAAAUGCAUAGGUAUCACGAAGAACUCCGAUCGCGAAGGCAGCCUUCCGGCCCGUCAACGACGCUCAUGCUCGAAGGUGCGGGUAUCAAACAGGAUUAGAUACCCUGGUAGUCCGCACAGUAAACGAUGGACACCCGCGGUUUGGCCUGUAUGGCUGAGCCGCCAAGCGAAAGCGUUAAGUGUCCCACCUGGGGAGUACGCCGGCAACGGUGAAACUCAAAGGAAUUGGCGGGG
RNAcentral lists this ribosomal RNA (393 nucleotides) under uncultured bacterium. RNAcentral describes it as "partial 16S ribosomal RNA". It matches the Rfam family "Bacterial small subunit ribosomal RNA", at positions 523 to 918 of the family's 1533-position model. The record is from RNAcentral.